RNAcentral lists this unclassified non-coding RNA (242 nucleotides) under Hevea brasiliensis (rubber tree). Lineage: Eukaryota; Viridiplantae; Streptophyta; Magnoliopsida; Malpighiales; Euphorbiaceae. The record is from RNAcentral.
GGCGAUGGGAAGGUGGGGACUGUCCGUGAAGUGCGGGUCAUAUCGGGCCUACCAGCUGCUAACAGCAUGGAGAGACUUGAGAUCCUUGAUGAGGAACGCCACGUCAUCAGCUUCAGUGUCGUAGGCGGGGACCACCGCCUGGUGAAUUACCGAUCUGUUACCACACUCCACUCCGAUCAAAGCUCAGGGACGACCAUAGUUGUCGAAUCGUACGUUGUUGAUAUACCUCAUGGGAAUACUAC